This 513-nucleotide ribosomal RNA is filed under the name uncultured bacterium. Its description in RNAcentral is "bacterial SSU rRNA". It matches the Rfam family "Bacterial small subunit ribosomal RNA", at positions 28 to 534 of the family's 1533-position model. The record is from RNAcentral.
GAUGAACGCUAGCGGGAGGCUUAACACAUGCAAGUCGAGGGGCAGCAUAGGGUAGCAAUACUCUGAUGGCGACCGGCAAACGGGUGAGUAACGCGUAUGCAACCUACCCUGUACAGGGGGAUAACCCGGAGAAAUUCGGACUAAUAUCCCGUAAUAAUAUCCGGAGGCAUCUUUGGAUAUUUAAAGUUUCGACGGUACGGGAUGGGCAUGCGUAACAUUAGCUGGUUGGUAAGGUAACGGCUUACCAAGGCUAUGAUGUUUAGGGGUCCUGAGAGGGUGGUCCCCCACACUGGUACUGAGACACGGACCAGACUCCUACGGGAGGCAGCAGUGAGGAAUAUUGGUCAAUGGGCGCAAGCCUGAACCAGCCAUCCCGCGUGCAGGAAGACGGCCCUAUGGGUUGUAAACUGCUUUUCCAGGGGGAGAAACUUACGCACGUGUUGCGUGACUGACGGUACCCUGGGAAUAAGCAUCGGCUAACUCCGUGCCAGCAGCCGCGGUAAAACGUGCGUG